Molecule: ribosomal RNA, 468 nt
Filed under: uncultured bacterium
Lineage: Bacteria
Description: partial 16S ribosomal RNA
Rfam family: Bacterial small subunit ribosomal RNA
Source: RNAcentral
GACGAACGCUGGCGGCGUGCUUAACACAUGCAAGUCGAACGGAAAGGCCCUGCUUUUGUGGGGUGCUCGAGUGGCGAACGGGUGAGUAACACGUGAGUAACCUGCCCUUGACUUUGGGAUAACUUCAGGAAACUGGGGCUAAUACCGGAUAGGAGCUCCUGCUGCAUGGUGGGGGUUGGAAAGUUUUGGCAGUUGGGGAUGGACUCGCGGCUUAUCAGCUUGUUGGUGGGGUAGUGGCUUACCAAGGCUUUGACGGGUAGCCGGCCUGAGAGGGUGACCGGCCACAUUGGGACUGAGAUACGGCCCAGACUCCUACGGGAGGCAGCAGUGGGGAAUAUUGCACAAUGGGCGGAAGCCUGAUGCAGCAACGCCGCGUGCGGGAUGACGGCCUUCGGGUUGUAAACCGCUUUCGCCUGUGACGAAGCGUGAGUGACGGUAAUGGGUAAAGAAGCACCGGCUAACUACGUG